Molecule: ribosomal RNA, 548 nt
Filed under: Pichia kluyveri
Lineage: Eukaryota; Fungi; Ascomycota; Pichiomycetes; Pichiales; Pichiaceae
Description: eukaryotic LSU rRNA
Rfam family: Eukaryotic large subunit ribosomal RNA
Source: RNAcentral
UAAGCGGAGGAAAAGAAACCAACAGGGAUUGCCUCAGUAGCGGCGAGUGAAGCGGCAAGAGCUCAGAUUUGAAAUCUCACCUAGUGUGCGAGUUGUAAAUUGCAGGUUGGAGUCUCGGGUUAGACGUGUGUGCAAGUCCCUUGGAACAGGGUGCCACUGAGGGUGAGAGCCCCGUAMCGUGCAUGUCGACACCUGUGAGGCCCUUCUGACGAGUCGAGUUGUUUGGGAAUGCAGCUCUAAGUGGGUGGUAAAUUCCAUCUAAGGCUAAAUAUUGGCGAGAGACCGAUAGCGAACAAGUACUGUGAAGGAAAGAUGAAAAGCACUUUGAAAAGAGAGUGAAACAGCACGUGAAAUUGUUGAAAGGGAAGGGUAUUGGGCUCGACAUGGGAUUUACGCAUCGUUGCCUCUCGUGGGCGGCGCUCUGGGUUUUUCCUGGGCCAGCAUCGGUUUUCGUUGCAGGARAAGGACAAUUGGAAUGUGGCUCCUCGGAGUGUUAUAGCCUUUUGUAGAUGCUGCGUAUGGGGACCGAGGGCUGCGGCGGACUCGUU